This 488-nucleotide ribosomal RNA is filed under the name uncultured bacterium. RNAcentral's name for it is "partial 16S ribosomal RNA". It matches the Rfam family "Bacterial small subunit ribosomal RNA", at positions 28 to 507 of the family's 1533-position model. The record is from RNAcentral.
GACGAACGCUGGCGGCGUGCUUAACACAUGCAAGUCGAACGCGCCUGUCCUCUGGGUUUCUGGGGGGUGGGUGAGUGGCGAACGGGUGAGUAACACGUGAGUAACCUGCCCCCUUCUUCGGGAUAACGGUCUGAAAGGGCUGCUAAUACCGGGUAUUCACUGGUCUCCGCAUGGGGUCUGGUGGAAAGGUUUUUUUCUGGUGGGGGAUGGGCUCGCGGCCUAUCAGCUUGUUGGUGGGGUGAUGGCCCACCAAGGCUUUGACGGGUAGCCGGCCUGAGAGGGUGACCGGUCACAUUGGGACUGAGAUACGGCCCAGACUCCUACGGGAGGCAGCAGUGGGGAAUAUUGCACAAUGGGCGCAAGCCUGAUGCAGCGACGCCGCGUGAGGGAUGGAGGCCUUCGGGUUGUGAACCUCUUUCGCCCGUGGUCAAGCCGCGACGUGGGUCGUGGUGAGGGUAGUGGGAAAAGAAGCGCCGGCUAACUACGUG